AAUAUUCCGCAAUGGACGAAAGUCUGACGGAGCAACGCCGCGUGAGUGAUGAAGGUCUUCGGAUCGUAAAACUCUGUUGUUAGGGAAGAACAAGUAACGGAGUCACUGCCGGUACCUUGACGGUACCUGACGAGAAAGCCACGGCUAACCACGUCCCAGCAGCCGCGGUAAAGAGCAGGUGGAAAGCGUUGUUCGGAUUUAUUGGGCGUAAAGCGCGCGCAGGCGGUCUUUUAAGUCUGAUGUGAAAUCUUACAGCGUAACUAUAAGCGGUCAUUGGAAACGGGGAGACUUGAGUGCAGAAGAGGAGAGUGGAAUUCCAUGUGUAGCGGUGAAAUGCGUAGAGAUGUGGAGGAACACCAGUGGCGAAGGCGACUCGCUGGUCUGUAACUGACGCUGAGGCGCGAAAGCGUGGGGAUCAAACA
RNAcentral lists this ribosomal RNA (422 nucleotides) under uncultured bacterium. Its description in RNAcentral is "partial 16S ribosomal RNA". It matches the Rfam family "Bacterial small subunit ribosomal RNA", at positions 360 to 774 of the family's 1533-position model. The record is from RNAcentral.